AGGUUUGGAACCUCGAUGUCGGCUCAUCACAUCCUGGGGCUGUAGUAGGUCCCAAGGGUUGGGCUGUUCGCCCAUUAAAGGGGUACGCGAGCUGGGUUCAGAACGUCGUGAGACAGUUCGGUCCCUAGCCGUCGCAGGCGUAGGAAAUUUGAGAAGACCUGUCCUUAGUACGAGAGGACCGGGAUGGACGUACCUCUGGUGUACCAGU
Molecule: ribosomal RNA, 208 nt
Filed under: Clostridioides difficile
Lineage: Bacteria; Bacillati; Bacillota; Clostridia; Peptostreptococcales; Peptostreptococcaceae
Description: partial 23S ribosomal RNA
Rfam family: Bacterial large subunit ribosomal RNA
Source: RNAcentral